GGGUCAGUAGGCUGGUCGUGCCACCGGUACGUACUGGUCUCACUGAUUCCUCCUUCCUGAAGAACCGUAAUGCCAUUAAUUUGGUGUUGCGGGGUAACAGGACUGUUACUUUGAAAAAAUUAGAGUGUUUAAAGCAAGCUAACGCUUGAAUACAUUAGCAUGGAAUAAUGAAAUAGGACGAUCGAUCCUAUUUUGUUAGUUCCUAGGAUUGACGUA
This 216-nucleotide ribosomal RNA is filed under the name Glomeromycotina sp. Its description in RNAcentral is "partial small subunit ribosomal RNA". The stretch from base 40 to 216 matches the Rfam family "Eukaryotic small subunit ribosomal RNA", at positions 686 to 864 of the family's 1831-position model. Lineage: Eukaryota; Fungi; Glomeromycota. The record is from RNAcentral.